This is a non-coding RNA of Erythranthe guttata (spotted monkey flower), 481 nucleotides long. The record is from RefSeq and is a predicted model, not a curated record. Lineage: Eukaryota; Viridiplantae; Streptophyta; Magnoliopsida; Lamiales; Phrymaceae.
CUUGUAAAAACCUUGUGUUUUAUAAAUAAAAGCUUGCUACUGGUCUUCUAUAUCGUUCUUUGUAAUGAAGUUUGUCCCGCAGCUUAUCUCACUCCCAACCCGUAAAGCCUUCAGUUUAAGUGUCCCACGAUUUUGCGUCACAUGUAAGUCCCUUAUGUGAAGCAUAGAAGCAAGAGACAUGGUUGGUUCCUUUUUAUGUAUUGUAAGAAACAAAUGUUAUGUUGGAAUUAACGUUUAAAGAUGUUGCAUAAAAAAAUAUGUAAAUGAAGACAUGUUUGUGGGAAGUUGAUUCUAUCAAUUUGUUUCCUAGGGUAUAUAUGUACCUGAUACACAAAAUCAAACUUAGUGCCUACUCUUUGUGUUAUAUGGAUAUGUUCGGUAUGAAAAUUGAAUUAUAGAGUGAAUAUGUAUGCAUGGAGUACAAUUUGUAGACAUAUGCAGUUGUUACUAAUUAAAUGGAAUUUAUUUUGUAAUUAUGACC